Molecule: ribosomal RNA, 867 nt
Filed under: Phialocephala sp. AU_BD21
Lineage: Eukaryota; Fungi; Ascomycota; Leotiomycetes; Helotiales; Mollisiaceae
Description: LSU rRNA
Rfam family: Eukaryotic large subunit ribosomal RNA
Source: RNAcentral
AAGCGGAGGAAAAGAAACCAACAGGGAUUACCUCAGUAACGGCGAGUGAAGCGGUAACAGCUCAAAUUUGAAAGCUGCCAACAGGCCGCGUUGUAAUUUGUAGAAGAUGCUUUGGGUUUCGGCCUAGUCUAAGUUCCUUGGAACAGGACGUCAUAGAGGGUGAGAAUCCCGUAUGUGAUUAGUGCCGGCGCCCGUGUAAAGCUCUUUCGACGAGUCGAGUUGUUUGGGAAUGCAGCUCAAAAUGGGUGGUAAAUUUCAUCUAAAGCUAAAUAUUGGCCAGAGACCGAUAGCGCACAAGUAGAGUGAUCGAAAGAUGAAAAGCACUUUGGAAAGAGAGUUAAACAGUACGUGAAAUUGUUGAAAGGGAAGCGCUUGCAAUCAGACUUGCGGGCAGUUGAUCAUCCGGGGAUCUCUCCGGUGCACUCGAUUGUCCUCAGGCCAGCAUCGGUUUCAGUGGUGGGAUAAAGGCUGUGAGAAUGUGGCUCUUCGGAGUGUUAUAGCUCACGGUGCAAUGCCGCCUACUGGGACCGAGGACCGCGCUUCGGCUAGGAUGCUGGCGUAAUGGUUGUAAGCGACCCGUCUUGAAACACGGACCAAGGAGUCUAACAUCUAUGCGAGUGUUUGGGUGUCAAACCCAUACGCGUAAUGAAAGUGAACGGAGGUGAGAACCCAUUAGGGCGCAUCAUCGACCGAUCCUGAUGUCUUCGGAUGGAUUUGAGUAAGAGCAUAGCUGUUGGGACCCGAAAGAUGGUGAACUAUGCGUGAAUAGGGUGAAGCCAGAGGAAACUCUGGUGGAGGCUCGCAGCGGUUCUGACGUGCAAAUCGAUCGUCAAAUUUGCGUAUAGGGGCGAAAGACUAAUCGAACCA